CUUUCCCGGAGCUUGCUCCACCGAAAGAAAAAGAGUGGCGAACGGGUGAGUAACACGUGGGUAACCUGCCCAUCAGAAGGGGAUAACACUUGGAAACAGGUGCUAAUACCGUAUAACACUAUUUUCCGCAUGGAAGAAAGUUGAAAGGCGCUUUUGCGUCACUGAUGGAUGGACCCGCGGUGCAUUAGCUAGUUGGUGAGGUAACGGCUCACCAAGGCAACGAUGCAUAGCCGACCUGAGAGGGUGAUCGGCCACACUGGGACUGAGACACGGCCCAGACUCCUACGGGAGGCAGCAGUAGGGAAUCUUCGGCAAUGGACGAAAGUCUGACCGAGCAACGCCGCGUGAGUGAAGAAGGUUUUCGGAUCGUAAAACUCUGUUGUUAGAGAAGAACAAGGAUGAGAGUAAAAUGUUCAUCCCUUGACGGUAUCUAACCAGAAAGCCACGGCUAACUACGUGCCAGCAGCCGCGGUAAUACGUAGGUGGCAAGCGUUGUCCGGAUUUAUUGGGCGUAAAGCGAGCGCAGGCGGUUUCUUAAGUCUGAUGUGAAAGCCCCCGGCUCAACCGGGGAGGGUCAUUGGAAACUGGGAGACUUGAGUGCAGAAGAGGAGAGUGGAAUUCCAUGUGUAGCGGUGAAAUGCGUAGAUAUAUGGAGGAACACCAGUGGCGAAGGCGGCUCUCUGGUCUGUAACUGACGCUGAGGCUCGAAAGCGUGGGGAGCGAACAGGAUUAGAUACCCUGGUAGUCCACGCCGUGAACGAUGAGUGCUAAG
Molecule: ribosomal RNA, 772 nt
Filed under: Enterococcus casseliflavus
Lineage: Bacteria; Bacillati; Bacillota; Bacilli; Lactobacillales; Enterococcaceae
Description: bacterial SSU rRNA
Rfam family: Bacterial small subunit ribosomal RNA
Source: RNAcentral